AACGCACAUUGCGCCCGGCAGCAAUCUGCCGGGCAUGCCUGUCCGAGCGUCAUUUCUGCCCUCGAGCGCGGUUCGGCCCCUAGCGGGCCGUCCGCCGCCCGGUGUUGGGGCGCUGCGGGCCCUCGUGCCCGCAGGCCCUGAAAUGAAGUGGCGGUCCCGCCGCGGCGCCCCCUGCGUAGUAGUAAAGCACCUCGCAUCGGGUCCCGGCGGAGGCCAGCCGUCGAACCUCUUUCUCUUGAUGGUUUGACCUCGGAUCAGGUAGGGUUACCCGCUGAACUUAA
Molecule: unclassified non-coding RNA, 281 nt
Filed under: uncultured fungus
Lineage: Eukaryota; Fungi
Description: partial contains 5.8S ribosomal RNA, internal transcribed spacer 2, and large subunit ribosomal RNA
Source: RNAcentral